Molecule: long non-coding RNA, 391 nt
Organism: Saccostrea echinata
Lineage: Eukaryota; Metazoa; Mollusca; Bivalvia; Ostreida; Ostreidae
Exons: 3
Source: RefSeq, a predicted model, not a curated record
AAAUCGGAUCUAGUAGAGAAAGAAAGAAAAGUUCCAAAGAAAACUUAGAAAAUAUUGAGAAAAGAAACGUGUAUGAUUCUGUUGCAGAAAAUAAAGAAGGCGAAUAUCUAAAUAUUUCGUAAAGAUUGAAUAAAUGUCUGAUGUACACAGAGGGCACCUUAUAAAUAAGAAACACUCUGUGACUAAGGAGAACAACUCAGAGACAGGAACUAAGGAGAGAUUGCAAAUACAUAUAUACACAUUAUAAGCAGAAUAUAGUUAUGAAAUUACAUUUGUAAAACAAAUAAUGGUGACCAAAGUCAAACAAUAAAAGUAUUUAAUUGUUAGGUCUUGACUUUAAUUGUAUUUUGGUGAUAGAAAUACCUUUCUUCAGUGUCUGGGACUAUUUAGA